UACGUAGGGUGCAAGCGUUAAUCGGAAUUACUGGGCGUAAAGCGUACGCAGGCGGUUUUGUAAGUCUGACGUGAAAUCCCCGGGCUCAACCUGGGAAUUGCGUUGGAGACUGCAAGGCUAGAAUCUGGCAGAGGGGGGUAGAAUUCCACGUGUAGCAGUGAAAUGCGUAGAGAUGUGGAGGAACACCGAUGGCGAAGGCAGCCCCCUGGGUCAAGAUUGACGCUCAUGCACGAAAGCGUGGGGAGCAAACAGG
Molecule: ribosomal RNA, 253 nt
Filed under: uncultured bacterium
Lineage: Bacteria
Description: partial 16S ribosomal RNA
Rfam family: Bacterial small subunit ribosomal RNA
Source: RNAcentral